This 309-nucleotide ribosomal RNA is filed under the name Triticum aestivum (bread wheat). RNAcentral's name for it is "partial small subunit ribosomal RNA". The record is from RNAcentral. Lineage: Eukaryota; Viridiplantae; Streptophyta; Magnoliopsida; Poales; Poaceae.
AUGGGUGGCAAGGGCGGCGGUGGAGGUGGAGGCAACGGGGGAGGAGGUGGCGGCGGCAAGGGCGGUGGCGGUGGCGGUGGAGGUGGAGGCGGCAGGAGCGGUGGAGGGGGAGGAGGAACGAAGGGAGGCGGAGGCGGAUCAAAGGGGUCAGGCGGCAGUGGAGGCGCAGGGAAGUCGUCCGGCACGAGCGGUGGCAGCGGUGGUAUGAUGAAGGCGCCCGGCGGUGACGGCGCCUACAUCUCCCGUCCCGGGUUCGAGUCCAACCCGCAGGGCUACUUCCAGGGCCUCCACGGCGCCGGAGGAAAGUAG